UGAGUAACACGUAAGCAACUUGCCUAUUAGAGGGGAAUAACAGUGAGAAAUCAUUGCUAAUACCGCAUAUGCCAUAAACACCACAUGGUGAAAGUGGGAAAGGAGAAAUCCGCUAAUAGAUGGGCUUGCGUCUGAUUAGAUAGUUGGUGGGGUAACGGCCUACCAAGUCGACGAUCAGUAGCCGAACUGAGAGGUUGAACGGCCACAUUGGGACUGAGAUACGGCCCAGACUCCUACGGGAGGCAGCAG
This 249-nucleotide ribosomal RNA is filed under the name uncultured bacterium. RNAcentral describes it as "partial 16S ribosomal RNA". It matches the Rfam family "Bacterial small subunit ribosomal RNA", at positions 107 to 354 of the family's 1533-position model. The record is from RNAcentral.